UACGUAGGUGGCAAGCGUUGUCCGGAUUUACUGGGCGUAAAGGGAGUGUAGGCGGAUACUUAAGUCAGAUGUGAAAUACCCGGGCUCAACUUGGGUGCUGCAUUUGAAACUGGGUGUCUAGAGUGCAGGAGAGGAAAGUGGAAUUCCUAGUGUAGCGGUGAAAUGCGUAGAGAUUAGGAAGAACACCAGUGGCGAAGGCGACUUUCUGGACUGUAACUGACGCUGAGGCUCGAAAGCGUGGGGAGCAAACAGGAUUAGAUACCCUGGUAGUCCACGCCGUAAACGAUGGGUACUAAGUGUGGGAGGGAUCGACUCCUUCCGUGCCGCCGUAAACACAAUAAGUACCCCGCCUGGGGAGUACGGUCGCAAGAUUAAA
RNAcentral lists this ribosomal RNA (376 nucleotides) under uncultured bacterium. RNAcentral's name for it is "bacterial SSU rRNA". It matches the Rfam family "Bacterial small subunit ribosomal RNA", at positions 524 to 898 of the family's 1533-position model. The record is from RNAcentral.